RNAcentral lists this unclassified non-coding RNA (213 nucleotides) under plant metagenome. RNAcentral describes it as "partial contains small subunit ribosomal RNA and internal transcribed spacer 1". The stretch from base 1 to 46 matches the Rfam family "Eukaryotic small subunit ribosomal RNA", at positions 1786 to 1831 of the family's 1831-position model. The record is from RNAcentral.
AAGUCGUAACAAGGUUUCCGUAGGUGAACCUGCGGAAGGAUCAUUCAUAAUAAGUGUUUUACUGCACUUUUUAAAAAUAGUACUCACCUUGUGUGCAAUGUUUGUUUGAAGAGAACACUCUUUCGGGAGUGUACUCUUUGGGCAUCUAUACCAACCUUUAUUUUUAACGACUUUGUCUGAAAAACUAUUAUGAAUACUUAAUUCAAAAUACAA